RNAcentral lists this ribosomal RNA (465 nucleotides) under uncultured bacterium. Its description in RNAcentral is "partial 16S ribosomal RNA". It matches the Rfam family "Bacterial small subunit ribosomal RNA", at positions 28 to 507 of the family's 1533-position model. The record is from RNAcentral.
GACGAACGCUGGCGGCGUGCUUAACACAUGCAAGUCGAACGGAAAGGCCCUGCUUGCGGGGUACUCGAGUGGCGAACGGGUGAGUAACACGUGGGUGAUCUGCCCUGCACUUCGGGAUAAGCCUGGGAAACUGGGUCUAAUACCGGAUAGGAGCCAUCCUUAGUGUGAGGGUUGGAAAGUUUUUUCGGUGUAGGUUGAGCGCGCGGCCUAUUAGCUUGUUGGUGGGGUAAUGGCCUACCAAGGCGGCGACGGGUAGCCGGCCUGAGGGGGUGGACGGCCAACUUGGGACCUGGAGUCGGCCCCGGCUCCUACGGGAGGCAGCAGGGGGGAAUAUUGCACAAUGGGCGCGAGCCUGAUGCAGCGACGCCGCGUGGGGGAUGACGGCCUUCGGGUUGUAAACUCCUUUCGCUAGGGACGAAGCUUUUUGUGACGGUACCUAGAUAAGAAGCACCGGCUAACUACGUG